RNAcentral lists this ribosomal RNA (549 nucleotides) under uncultured bacterium. Its description in RNAcentral is "bacterial SSU rRNA". It matches the Rfam family "Bacterial small subunit ribosomal RNA", at positions 355 to 896 of the family's 1533-position model. The record is from RNAcentral.
UGGGGAAUAUUGGACAAUGGGCGCAAGCCUGAUCCAGCCAUGCCGCGUGUGUGAAGAAGGCCUUCGGGUUGUAAAGCACUUUCAGUAGGGAGGAAGCGUUGUGUGUUAAUAGUACACAGCGUUGACGUUACCUACAGAAGAAGCACCGGCUAACUCUGUGCCAGCAGCCGCGGUAAUACAGAGGGUGCAAGCGUUAAUCGGAAUUACUGGGCGUAAAGCGCACGUAGGCGGUUUUUUAAGUCAGAUGUGAAAGCCCCGGGCUCAACCUGGGAAUUGCAUUUGAAACUGGAAAACUAGAGUGUGUGAGAGGGGGGUAGAAUUCCAAGUGUAGCGGUGAAAUGCGUAGAGAUUUGGAGGAAUACCAGUGGCGAAGGCGGCCCCCUGGCACAACACUGACGCUCAGGUGCGAAAGCGUGGGGAGCAAACAGGAUUAGAUACCCUGGUAGUCCACGCCGUAAACGAUGUCUACUAGCUGUUCGUGACCUUGCGUCGUGAGUAGCGCAGCUAACGCAUUAAGUAGACCGCCUGGGGAGUACGGUCGCAAGAUUA